This 495-nucleotide ribosomal RNA is filed under the name uncultured bacterium. Its description in RNAcentral is "partial 16S ribosomal RNA". It matches the Rfam family "Bacterial small subunit ribosomal RNA", at positions 28 to 507 of the family's 1533-position model. The record is from RNAcentral.
GACGAACGCUGGCGGCGUGCCUAAUACAUGCAAGUAGAACGCUGAAGGAGGAGCUUGCUUCUCUGGAUGAGUUGCGAACGGGUGAGUAACGCGUAGGUAACCUGCCUGGUAGCGGGGGAUAACUAUUGGAAACGAUAGCUAAUACCGCAUAAUAGUAGAUGUUGCAUGACAUUUGCCUAAAAGGUGCAAUUGCAUCACUACCAGAUGGACCUGCGUUGUAUUAGCUAGUUGGUGGGGUAACGGCUCACCAAGGCGACGAUACAUAGCCGACCUGAGAGGGGGGUCGGCCACACUGGGACUGAGACACGGCCCAGACUCCUACGGGAGGCAGCAGUAGGGAAUCUUCGGCAAUGGACGGAAGUCUGACCGAGCAACGCCGCGUGAGUGAAGAAGGUUUUCGGAUCGUAAAGCUCUGUUGUAAGAGAAGAACGAGUGUGAGAGUGGAAAGUUCACACUGUGACGGUAUCUUACCAGAAAGGGACGGCUAACUACGUG